Long non-coding RNA from Equus quagga, 3361 nucleotides. RefSeq lists it as uncharacterized. NCBI's taxonomy places the organism in Eukaryota, Metazoa, Chordata, Mammalia, Perissodactyla, Equidae. The record is from RefSeq and is a predicted model, not a curated record. The transcript is spliced from 2 exons.
CCCACAUACAAAGUAGAGGAAGAUGGGCACAGAUGUUAGCUCAGGGCCAGUCUUCCUCAGCAAAAAGAGGAGGAUGGGCAGAUGUUAGCUCAAGGCUGAUCUUCCUCAAAAAAAAAAAGGGCCCAGCCCAGGAGGGGCAAGGCUCCAUUGGGUCACACAGUGAGUGCCAGGCCAGGACUGGAAUCCAGGCCUUGGGUUUCCCAGCCUAGAACCGCCCGAGGCCAGGAGGGGCUGAGUCCUCAGGAAAAGGGAGCUGUCUUCCCUACACAGAAUUCCCUUGGAAUCCUUCGCAGUGGCCCAGGCUGCCCUCGGCCCCAGGCUUCAUGUGGUCGCUCUUCCUAAGGCCCAGCCUCCUGGGAGACCUGGCUGCAGAGAGUCCCGCUGAACUGGCAUGCCGGGGUGGCUGCCUCAGCUCUCUCUGACACUGGGCAGUUUGCUCGCGGUGUCUGAACACUGGUUUCCCCAUCUGUCAGGCAGGAGUAGUUCCUGCCUGUGGGCGCCCCGAGCCAUUGGGAGGGUAAGUGGGCAAACAGAGAGGGCCUGGGAGGUCGGGAGAGUCUCCCCGAGUCAUGCAGCAUCUCCACACGGUCCAGCCUCUGGAGCCUGCUGUCCCAGGACUGUCUGUCUCUCAGGAGGAGCUCAUUUGGGGGGAAGAGACAGAGCAGUUGGGAAGCUGCCCAGCAAGGGCAGGGGCUUUCAGUCACCCCGCUUAAACUGUGCCACCCACCCACCCAAGCCUGACCAUGGGCGAGCAAGUCAGGGUCCCCUUGUUCCCACACUUCCCCAAGAACCUCUCCUCAGGGUAGACGACAGCUAUGAGCACUUAGUGUUGCCUGGCUCUGUGCUCACUCCUCUACUCAAGGCCCCGGGAAACAUGUAUCAUUACCCCGUUCAACCCCGAAGGUUGGAGAGUUAGGUUGCUCACCCAAGAUCACCCAGUGAACAACUGGGGAUCUGAAAUUCCUACUAGGCCUGACUCCAACACCUGUGUUCUCCGCUGCACGGGCAGAGAGCUUGUCAUGGAGCCCCUGGGACCACGUGGCCGGCAAAUCAGGACAAGUGGGAGGGAAGUUGGCACUAUGUUCAUCACAACAUAGAGAACAGCAGCAAGCCGCUGAAGAUGGGGCUCUUUCCUACAAAGGCCACUAGGGGGAAAUGUGAACCCCCAACCGGGAGCCUGGAGAUGGGCUGGGGCAGGGCUUACACCCAGGAGAGAGCUCGGGAAAGCUAAUUAAAACUUUUUAGUAGGGUUUACAACCAAUAUCUUUUAAAUUUACUACCUUUUCUCUUCUUUUUUUUAAUACUGUUUUCUCUCUGCUUGUUGAUAGACACAUUAUAGGCAUGGGUGGGAGAAACAAGCCAUGCAGCUGUCUGGAGGAAGACCGUGCCAGGCCAAGGGAACAGCCAUUGCGAAGGCUGGUGGUGGCAGCGUGCUGUGCACCCUGGAGGAACAGCAAAGUGUCAGCUGCAGGGGAAGGAAUAAGGGAGAGAGUGGCCGGGGCCUUGAGACCAUGGAAGGCUUAGGGCAGAGGAGGGAAUGAUCAGAUCUGGCUCAUCUCUUGGAAGGAUCACUCCAGCUGCCGUGUUGAGACUAGACUGUAGGCCCAGGCCUGCGUUUCUCCCUGGAUAUCCCACAAGCACGUCGGAUCUGUGCGCCUGACCUCUAGACUGUCUCCUGGUGUCUCCACCACCUCGCCAGCCUCCCCCUUAGGAGUUCAUCUUCUCUCUGAUGCCUCCUGACCGGGGCCAGAGGCCAGAGCCAAGGUGGGGAAUGUGGGGGUGGGGAGGGCAGGAGCGCAUUCUUGCUGGCCUGGCAGGGCUGUUCUGGGGCCUGCUGUGACUCCAAUCUGAGGAAUCCUCCUUAUCAGCCAUCGGAGUUUGGUUGGGUCCCUGGAUGCUCAGCCCUGCAUUUAUGGCCUUAUCUGUGUGCUUGGGUGUGCCUGGCUCUGAGCUGUGUAUCUUCUCUCUCAACCCCUGACCUGGCCUCUGAGCCUCCAGCCCCUACUCACCCAGGCCCCCACUAGGCCCAGAGCAUCCCCUCCAGGAGCCCCUGCACAGCCCCUCCAGCCCCUCGCCCCUUGGCUCCUGAUCACAGACACAAGGGAGACCGUGAGCUCUGGCAAACCCUCCCCGGCCUCGCUCCACCACAGCACCACGCUGAUGGCCAAGCCGAGACCUGAAGCCUCUCACCACUCCAAGCCUCGUCCCCAUCUUACAGAUGAAGAAACUGAGGCCCAGAGAGGUUCAAGAACAUGCCAAAUCUCAGUGGGGAGGGGGGCGCUUGAGUGUUUUUUGUUUAUUUGGGGGCCGUUUUGUUUUUUGAGUGUUUUAUUGUUAGUUUAACUGUAUGUGUAUGUUAUACACACACGUUGACAGAAUAUAUUUCACAAUUUAAAAAUCAAACAAAAACUAGCCAAGAUCCUAUCAAUAAGCACAAGAAUCCCUACCCUCUCCCCGUUCUGCGCCAGUCUCCCCAGGCCUCAGUUUCCUUGGAUGUAAGUUGGCCGUGGUCAUAUGAGAGAAUGUCGAGUGAUAACAGCAAGCCCACACCCCCCCGUGCCAGGCAUAGCUCAUGUCGUCACCCGGCAGCCCGGUGAGGUGGCAGCUCUUACUGUCCUGUCUUACCUAAGGUCAUACAGCUAGGAGGUGGCAGAGCCGGUAUUUGGAUCCAGGCGGGCUGGCCUCGCCUGUGCUCUUGGAUGGCACAGUAGGGGCCCUGCGGCACGCAGGGGACUGGGGUCACCUGUUCCCACUUCAGGUUCAGCACAGAGGCGAGUGGGAGCCAAGGUCGGGCUGCUCAGCUCUGAGGGGCCACCCAGGGCAUCAGCACCCCGGCCUGGCCUGUGAUGGCUGCUCCCACCUCUUCCUGGUCUGCAGGACCCCCUCUGAGGGAGGAGACAGUGAGGCCAGCCAGGGGCACUGUCUGUGGGUGCCUGGCUCUCUGAGGCCCUGAGUUGGGGUGGGAGAGCAGGCAGGACGGGGAGCAAGGGGCUUUCCCAAAGCCAGAACCACUAGGCUGAGGACCAAACCUGAACUGCAGAGCCCAGGAGGGGCCAGGCCUGGGGCUGGGAGUCGUUCCUGCCCCACCAUUGUCCCAACCACAGCCUCAGCUCGGGUGGGAAGUCGGGGGGACUGGGGUCAUGACAUGAGGCUUCGAAGUGCUGGAAGAAGUCAGAGCUGGGGGUACCCCAGGCACCAACAGAUCCAAUCCUCAUUGUACAGAUAGGGAAACUGAGGCCCAGACAGGGGAGGGGUCCUGUCCAGGUCACACAGCCAGUCCCUGCUGGACCUGGGACUGGGAGAAUGGGAGAGGAGCAAGGCCUCCCAUGGCUCACAUCCCAGCCUGGCUCCCAGAGCCGCA